AGAAAUCUGUGAUGCUGUGCCAGUUGAAGAAGUUGGUGGCGGCAGAGAGUAUGAUGUUUUUGCUGAUUAUUGCUAUAAGGGAUUACAAUGGUUUUGCACAGAGCAUAAAUUAAGUUAUCGAAGAAUUUAUGCUACGUUGCUAUUGAUUAUAAAACCAAACCGUCAAAAGAUACUCGAGCAUCACUGGAGGCUCCAACUGUGGGCCGGUUUACUAUGUCAAAGGAACACUUUCAAAUUGGAGAGAUCUUAUUCCAGCCUGUAU
This is a long non-coding RNA of Hibiscus syriacus, 262 nucleotides long. RefSeq lists it as uncharacterized. NCBI's taxonomy places the organism in Eukaryota, Viridiplantae, Streptophyta, Magnoliopsida, Malvales, Malvaceae. The record is from RefSeq and is a predicted model, not a curated record. The transcript is spliced from 3 exons.